AAGUCUAAGGUGGAAAGCACGGUACUAACUAAAUGUUGAUUGAUUACUAAACUACACUACAAGGUAUAAGUAAAAUGUGAAUGAUUUUCAGAUUAAGAUGGGGAAACCUGGAACCUCAACCUUGUCCCGUAGUUGUAACAGUUAACCUCCCAGAACCUCGACGAAGCCGGAGGUGUCAUCUCGUUUGUUCUUCCAUUAGACGACAAGGAUCGAAGAUAAGUAUACACAAAACGACUUAAUUUUUUCAUCAUAUUGCAUAGGGGUAUAACCGCGAAAAGGUUUUACGACUUAAUUACAUAGACAUAGACGGGCUAUGACUAUGUGCAUAGGUAUAGCCACGUAAAAUCGGAAUUCGACCCACAUCCAAAUCUACAAAAAAGAAAAGAAAACUCCUUUGUACUACAGACCCACGUUCACCAAGUUCGAACCUCCACAACUUCUAACGAAAAACACGGACGUGAGAUGGGACCCAUUACACGUACUGUAAGAGCAUAGACGUGAACAAGGUGAUAGUGUGAGGGGGGAUUACCAAGAAGACUGAAUUUGUAUUCAAAACAAGGAAGGUAACCUUUCACUGGAGAACCUUGUUAAGAACUUGUCUCUUUUCGCUUGAUCGGUUGCAACUUUAGUUGUAGUGGAUGAAUUUUAACGAUUAAUAAUGACCCAGGGAAAAACUGUUCUGACGGAUAAAAUCCUAUUACCGAGUAGCACCUGUGGAUCUACCUAAUUACGCGGUACCACGUAAGAGACCUCGGCCGGAGAGACCGGCGGUCGGAAACCUCGGAAGAGGACGGUGGUAUGACCUCUAGGACCUUUUGUUCGAACGGCACGUCUGGCGUCUCCGUCUUUUCGAAUAGGCUCUUUUAGUCGCUAACCGUCUAUCGGUACGUCGGAACUCUUUCCUAUAAUAGCUGUGACUCUGUCUUUACGUUUACUAAGCGUGGGUGGAUCCACUACAGGUCCAUCUCUGACUAUACGUGUACUCUCUAAACCACCUCUCUUAGGCUAAUUACCUCCGCCUGUAUGUCCGACCACUACGUCACUUCUUCCUUGAAGUGGUUCACGUAUACCUCCGUUUCGCUGAAUAAUGACUUUCCGUCUACGAAUGAUUACUGAAUCUCCGAUGCUGAUUUCUUGAUGUCUUCAUGAGACCACUGUUAUCAUUGGAAUGACUUAACCAACGCCUCGAUCUACCAGAUGCCUUUCUCGUAGUGUCAGAUUCUAGACGGAAACUCAUACUUUUUUUGUGUUUGUAGUUCGUUCAACUCGUCUACGCCUGGUACCUUUACUUGAACUAUUGGUACUGAUUUCUCCGCCUGUUCAAUGCUCGACUAAACCGUUUACGACGUUUGGCUCGUGUACGUCGUGUCCAAUGUGGAGGUGUCGGACCCUGUCCUGUUCGACGUCGCCGAAGUCGUCGGUGUUUAGGUAUACGUUCACGUAUAUGGUCAGUGGGGAGGCGUAUAGUCGUUCCUUGAAGGGUUCGGCGCCGUAUGGUCGUCCCUUGACGGGUUCGGCGUCGUAUGGUCGUUCCUUUGGGGGUUAGGCGCCGUAUGGUCGUUCCUCGGGGGGUUAGGCGCCGUAUGGUCGUUCCUCGGGGUGUUAGGCGUCGUAUGGUCGUUCCUCGGNGGGUUCGGCGUCGUAUGGUCGUUCCUUGGGGGGUUCGGCGCCGUAUGGUCGUUCCUCGGGGGGUUCGGCCUCGUAUAGUCGUUCCUCGGGGGGUUCGACCUCGCAUAGUCGUUCCUCGGGGGGUUCGACCUCGCAUAGUUGUUCCCUGUAUACCAAUGGGUUGUCGGAUACUAAGACGGUGGCGAAUAGUCGACGUACGAUUACGUAUACGAUCGAUAAGACCGAUAGGUCAACGUCCGAUACGUGUUGGGUCGAUAGGACCGUGCAUGCGACGUGGAGUCGUCGUGGGUCAUCGGUCACCGCACCGAUGACUAUGGUGUUCGCGCAUGCCACGGCGACCGUCGUGCCCUAUAGGACGGCGUGGUCAAGUCCGUUCGUCGCCCUGAUUACGCCCCGUUCGCCGCGGUGGUCGAGGAAUAGGACGUUGUAUACUGGGUUGGUUUCGUCGGGUCUCCACUUUAGGCCCCAACAUUGGACUUCUACCGGACACACGGACGUUUAAAAUAGUCUUUAAAGAGUCCGGAGAAUAAAGGAAGUACAUGUAAGUAAGUGAGGGACAUCGAAAUACGUGUGGUACCUCGACGACUCUCAGCGUCAAAUACCAGACUCAGAACUUAACUAAACAUAGAGAACAAAACGACCUACCAACUUAACUAUCCACGUCGACAACCAAUUAUAGUCCC
This 2312-nucleotide ribosomal RNA is filed under the name Triticum aestivum (bread wheat). Its description in RNAcentral is "partial small subunit ribosomal RNA". Lineage: Eukaryota; Viridiplantae; Streptophyta; Magnoliopsida; Poales; Poaceae. The record is from RNAcentral.